RNAcentral lists this long non-coding RNA (9088 nucleotides) under Capsicum annuum. RNAcentral describes it as "long non-coding RNA (CANN_LNC011878)". The record is from RNAcentral. Lineage: Eukaryota; Viridiplantae; Streptophyta; Magnoliopsida; Solanales; Solanaceae.
UAUUUGGAGAAGGAAAUGUUGAGCAAUGGACCAGGCCUCAAGAUUGAAAAGCCAGCAAUUAAUAGCAGUACUGGUAUUGUUGAUGAUGCCACUGAAAUUUCAGUAGAAGAUACUCAUGACACUUCUUCACCAUCCCAAUUGCUAGACUGAUUACGUCGAUCAUCAGUGACAGAGCUAUAAAUUCUAACGAGAUGAUUCAGUAAAAUGUAAAAAUAUUUACAUGUUCAUGUGUUACUUUUCCUAUAUUCGUGUAAGUUAUCUUGCUGUGACUGUCAUUGUGCAACUGAUCAAACACUUUAAAGUAUUUCAAUUUGUGCAUUACUGGGACAAAUCUUUUAUUUUUUUUUCCUUUUUCUAUUGUGUCACAACACAAUUGAGUGAUUCGUGUAAUUGGACAUACAAGUUACAAAGAGAGAACAAAAUAUCAUACCAGUGCUUAUUAUUUUAUUAUGGUUAUGUAAUAAAUAUGUAUUAUCUAUUGUAAAUAAGUUAUAUUUUUAGUGGAUGUUAUUAAAAGGGCCCCUAUAGCAAUGUAACUACCUCAAGUCACAGUUUGGCUAUAAAACGCAUUGUAUACAAUCUCGUAAAACACACAGAAAAGAAAAAGAAAAAUUAUUGCCUCACUUCUAUACGUCUCUCUCCUCUCCUUUUGUUUAAGUUUAUUAUAGUGUAUUUACUUUCAACACGUUAUCAAUAUGGACUUAUCUUUCAGUUUCACUAUGUCAAAUUUAUUGAAACAUAAGUUUAUGGCACUGAAUAUUACCCGAAAAAAUUAUUUAUCAUGAGUCCUAGAUGCUGAAAUUUAUCUUGAUGCUAGAGGUCUUGGGGAUACUAUUAAACAAGAAAAUAAUGCUCAAGUCAAGAUAAGGAAAAGGCUAUUAUUUUUCUUCAUCAUUGUCACACCCCUUUCUUCACUGAAAAAAAUAUUAAGUUCGAAAACAGUUUUAAUUAUUAAAGUGACUAAAAAUGAAUAUUUGCUUCGAAAAGAAUUUUUUUACAAUUAAUCUCAGAGUCGCGACUUGGCAUAAAUUUGGUGUGUCAAGUCACCUUUGAAAAUCAUUGCUCAAAAUGAUUUUGACUUUUUAAAACUGAUCCAUGAAUAGAGAUUCCGAUUAAGGAAUUCUGUUGACCCAGGGAAAGGUAUUAGACAUCCCUUAGUCCCGCGGCUCGACCAUGAUUGCUUCGUGGAGUAUAUCGGCUAGUAAGACACUAUGGAAUGAAUAAACUUCACACAAAAGCACAUAAGCAAACAAGUACACAAACAAUAAGAAGAUCCAAAAAUAAUGUCCAGUCCAAUUAAUACAGUUCCAAAAUGAAAAAAUACUGAAAUUGAAACCUACAAUAAUCCUAAACUAUGCUUUACCCAAUGCCUCAAGCCUUGAUCGCGAACCUCCUUCGAAGACAUAAUACGUUGGGGCAUUCUCCGGUGAAUAAAUACGAUUUUCUCGAGGCAUUCCCCGACAAAUGAAUAUAAUUUCAAUUCCGUGAAAAGAAAUAGAAAACCAUUCGAACACACAUUCAAACAUUCGAUAAAGAUGGAAUCCUAAAAUUUGUCUACCCCAUUUGACGGCCUAAUCAUGAUACUAUCAAGUUUGACACAAUUAAAAUUCAUUCUGAAUUAAACAACCAUCAAUCGAUCAAAACAAACCCAUAUUCAAUUUUACCAAUGCCAAUCCCUCCCCGAAUCUCAUUCUCAAUCAAUAAUUAACUUAAUUCUUCAACUAUCAGUUCAAUUUUUCUUAAUCAAUUUUCUCAACAACCGAAUUCAACAUCAACCACAUACACACAACAAGAUGUCGGGUUCGAAAUCGAAAGGGCCAUGUGGAAGCUUGUAGUUGCAAACCAAAUCGUGAUGAUAAUUCAGACGACAAGGAAAACAUACUAAAAAAUAUAUUAUUGGUAUUAUUUGGUCAAGCGACCUACAUAUUGAAAAACUAAUCUUGAAAAAUAUAAAAGUUAUUGGAAGAAAAUCUCCCCUUAAACAAAGACUCUUUAAAAACUACAUUAUGGAUGCUACUGUAUUAUGGUAUGAGAAGAUAGUACUCUAUUUAUAGAGGUCCAAAACUAUUCCUCUAAGAAAGAGGUUAGCCAAAUAUGAAAAAGUUCUAUAUGUUCUUUUUAGGAAAAGUAAAAGUAAUUAUGGUAUUACUUUUAUUUUCCUUGUAAGAAAAGUAAAACUUAAAUUUGGUAAGAAAAUCAGGGCAAAAACCCUAACAAAUCUCCCCUUUUUUACUUGAUUUUCUUGACAUAAUUUGAUCCACCUUCUUCCCGUGCAUGAUCUCCGUUCUUUACAUAAUCUUCAUCACUGUUGUUUUCCAUGGUUAAAAAUAAAAUUUAAAAUAUUAUGGUAUUUUUAUUUUUAAAGAUGCAGCAACAGGAAUGUUGGAAUAUGCUUAAAACUUUUUCUCCAAAUGUAGUUGGACAAAGAAUCUUCAUUAUCAUCAAAUUGAUUGCAAAUUCAUUAGAACCGCCUUGAACUUGUCUUCAACCUCGUUUCACCAAACCAUUGAAUUUUUGAAUCGUAGGCUCGAACCAUUGAACCGUAGGUUCUGAUACCACUUUUUGGGUUCGAAAUCAAGAGGGUCAUGCAGAAGUUUGUAGUUGUAAAGCAUAUCGUGGUGAUAAUUCAAACGACAAAUAAAACAUACUAAAAAAAUAAAUUAUUGAUAUUAUUUGGUCAAGUGACCUACAUAUUGAAAAACUAAUCUUGAAAAAUAUAAAACCUAUUGAGAGAAAAUCUCCCCUUAAACAAAAACUAUUUAAAAAGUACAUUGUGGAUGUUACUGUGUUAUGAUAUGAGAAGGGAGUUUUCUAUUUAUAGAGGUCUAAAACUAUUCCUUCAAGAUAGAGGUUAGCAAAAUAUGAAAAAGUUUUAUAUUUUCUUUCUAGGAAAAGUAAAAAUAAUUAUGGUAUUACUUUUAUUUUCCUUUUAAGAAUAGUAAAACUUAAAUUUGGUAAGAAAAUCAGGGCAAAAACCCUAACACAAGAUCCAAGCAUUGUAAGCACACAAGUCAUUCACAUCCACAACAACUAUUAAAAUUCGAGAUAAAAAUAGAGAAUGAGAGAAGAAAUAAACCUCAAUGCUUUUUCAAUUUGAAUGAUUCUUCCAAAGUCGCUACUGUGGUUGUUCAAACUAUUGACGAUGGAUCCUUGUCGAAAACCUCAAACACUAAAACCUCGAAUUCAAUUUUAAGACUGAACAACCUCAAUUUCCAAUAAGUUUCUUAGGCGACAGAUCUGUUUAACCGAUGUCCGGUGGAUUUCACCAGAGCUAGUUGAAUUUUUGGCUAGAGCUCGUCGGUUUAUGUGUUUUUGAUGGGUUUUCGCCUGAGCUGGUGAGAUUUAUGUUUAGGACCUGAACCAUAGUGAUUUCCGAUGGAUUAUCAUCGGACUCGACAAAUAGCUAUUUUGUUUGACUAGUUUUUUUGUUAGUUUUGGUCGAAGAGGAUAUUUCCAUUAAAGUUCCAUUAGAGAAAGCACUAUUUUUCUCAUUAUUUUCCUUCUCUCCAUUUCUCUGUUAUCUCCCUCUCUCACUCCAUUUCUCUUCUAAAUCAACGCCCAAUUUUUAUUUUUUCUCUUAUUGUUUUUUAUAUUUUCUCAAUUUCUCACUGUUUUCCCUUUUCUUAUUUUUUAUUUUUCUUUCUCACCUCACUGUUUUUCUCUCUAAUUGUGGGUUUCUCUCCUCUUCUCUAAAUUGUCUAUGUGCGUGAAUAUCUAUAUAAUGUGUGUUGUUAUUCUCUUGAGAGUGUGUGUAGGCAGUGUGUAUAUUAUGUGUAUUUACGAGCUGUCGGGUGGUUAUCUUGAUAUGGGUGAGAGAAAAAAUGUGAGUUGGGGUGGGCUAGGGCACGUAGGGUAGAGGUUAUUUUUUUGAGAGUUAGUUAUUUUUAUCAUUUUGUGGAAAAGUUAUUAAAUAGAGUGGGGUGUAUGGUAAGGUGAGGCAAAAUGAAUAAAAUUGGCUUUUAGGGUGGGGGUAGGGGGGGUACAUGUCUACAUCAUGCCCCUCUUAAUUUGUGAACACAAAGUAUUUGUAUACAAUGAAGUAGACAACGAGAUAAAAUUUUGACCUGACAAUUAUUCAAAAGGAAGAAACAGAAGAACGUAGUUGCAUUCACUGAAGAUAGUUGAUGUGGAUCCGGAGUGUACCCAAGGAGAUGAGUGGUCAUGCCCAACUAUCUUAAUUUCUAGAACAAACUGCCAUGCAAUUUUCCAAUUGAUGUGAACUAUCCCUUGGAUUAUGCCUUUUUUUAUUGUGUGGCUUGGAUAAAAAAAAUUGGGCCUAGAAGGGCUUUGGUAUGUUUGUGGAGUUGGAGGAUGAAUCUGAAGAGUUGGUGCAUGCCAUUGUGGGUAAGAAGGGUGAUGAACAUAUGAUUGUACGUUAUAUAUUGUAUAUGAAGGUGGGGUAAUGGAGUAUAAUGGGUUUUGGGAGUGAUUAUAUAGAGCUUGAGUAUGAACUUGGGCUUGAGACUGAGAGUAAUGACGAUGUGGUCUUUCUGAAUGUGCUUGUUGUCCAACUACAACAACAGUUACAUCUUUCUUAUUCUUCUUUCCUCCAAUAUUUUUAAAACCAUUUUGAAUUGCUUAAGUAGUUGAUUUCAAUGUUACAAAACUCACAAUGUGAUUGGUCUUAAUUCCAUCCUCUAUUAUCUCCCCCAUUUUGAGGACCUCAAUAAAUGGCUUGCCUAAUACAGGUAAAAAAUGUUGAUAAUAUGGUUUAUCCUAUACUUGAAUAAGCAUUUCCACUAUCUUGCUUUCUUUCAUUGGUAGUUUCACCUUAACAUCUUGUACACAUCAUCUAAUCACAUACUCCCUGAAACUUUCAGCACUCUUCUUCCUCGUAUUAGUUAGGAGUUUAUCAUCGAAAAUCAACUCCAUAUUGUAUUGAAAUUAUUGCACAAAUUCAUUAGCUAGGUCAUCCCAACUAUUCCACGUGUCGAUGUCAUGAUCAACAAACCAUUAUGAGGCUAGACUCGAAAGACUCUUACAAAAAUAAGCCAUGAGUAAUUCUUCCGUCCCUCCAACACCCAUUAGUUGGUUACAAUAAUGUCUCAAAUGUACUACGGGAUCCUCAUGUCCAUAAUAUUUCUCCAACUUCGGCAUCUUAAAGCCAAGAGGAAGGUUAACAAUUGAAAACAUGCAUAAGUAGUUAUAUGAGACACUUUUGUAACUCCCCCCCCCCCCAAAUCAUAUUAGUUAUUCAUAGCCAGUUCCAAAUUUUUUACCUUUCUAGUCAUUUCUUCUUAUUCUUCUGUCAUAACAGUCUUUUCAACAUUAAAAGGAAAUUCAGGUGGUUGAGUGUAGCCAUAAGGACCAAUCAACUUAAAUAUGGGCUCAACAACAUAAUGUUGAUCACCAGAAAUAUUCAAUACAGGCUCUCCGGCAGAGUGGGGAGGCACAACCAUUGGAUGAAGAUCAAAAGUAGUGGGGGUGGUGCUGUAAAAACAUGAACAGCAGGUGGAGCUGAGUAUGUGGUAGUUUUUUGUUGAGGAGUUAGGAAAUGAAUAUUGGGAUAGUAUUGCCUCAGAGUAUACCUUGGUGCAUGUUUGGCAUGUCAACAAAAAUGAAAAAUUGUACAUGUGACAUUGAGAUAAGCUAGGAGAAUUUUCCAAAUUAUCCAUGAAAAAUGAAGGAGGAGGCAGCCCAUUAACCCAAGCUCGAUGCACUACCAUCAUUUGUUUCCUUAAUUUCAAUAUCUCUUCAAUAGAUCCUAAAUUCUCAUUUCCUGAACUUCUUGUCCGAUCAGUGAUAACAACCUAGAUCUCCUUGUUGGUCAUAGCUAACUUUACUUAGACUUGGUAUAAUAUGGGUGGCUAUCUAGAAUGCCACAAACCAACCACCUUAAACUAACUGAAUAAAAGAAGUAAUAAAUAUGUUAGUUUAAAAUCUUAUCCAAAAACUUCUCUCUUUUUUUUUUUGAAAAGAUCACCGAACCCUAAAAAGGUGCUUACGCAUCUCACCUCCGAGAGGAGAGAAUCGGGUGUGCAUAGUACGUGAAGUUUGGCCAAAUAUAGUCAAUCAAACUCUUUUUUUUUUUUUUAUGAAAUUUUAGAGGAAAAGAAAAUAACAAAGUUUCAAAAGUAGAUGAAAAUCAUUUUGUAUUUUUCGGAAGAAGCAACAUGUGCAAACAACUAAUCUAAAAUGAAGAGAAUCUUUUUUAUUUUUUUUUAUUAGUAUUUUCAAAAGAUAUUGAAAAAAAAAUUGGACUUUCAUCUCUAAAUUUCAUACCAAAAUGCAACCUAAGACAAUUAAAGAAAAAUCAUUUUGUAUUUUUCUCUUUCAAGGCAUAUAUGAAACACCUACUUUAAAUAAAAUGCAAAGAAAAUCUUUUGAAUUUUUUAAAUAAGAUCACCGAACCCAAGAAGGAUUGUCUACAUAUAUCACUCCUGACAGAGAAUAAUCAGGUGUUCAUAGUUCGUCCAAACUGAACAAUCAAACGAUAACUAAAAGACUGGACCACGACUUAAGGGACAUGACAAAAAUAGAUAAUGCAAAAUAUUUAAUAAAAUCUUUUUUGAGUUUUCAAUUUGAAAUAUCAUAAAAUAAGAAACCAACAACUACGAAAGAAAAAUCCUUUUUGCCAUUUUCAUUAUAUAAAAGGAACAAAAACUUAAAUAAAAAUCUUUUUGAAUUUUCCUCUAUAGAAAAUGUAUAAAGCUCCUACAAACACAAUAAAAAUCUUUUUCUUUGACAUUUUCAAAUUAUGAAUGCGUGCUGAAGACAAUAAAGAAAACAUCUUGUGAUGUUUUUUUUUUUUUUGAGAAAAUCCAUACAAAAGGUGAAAAAAUAAUCCUUUUGAAUUUUUGAUCGUGAAAAAACAAAAGUCAUAAAGAACUAUAAACUAAGAAACUCUUUCCUUUGACUCACUUUUUAAAAAUUUUUCCUUGCCUAAAAACACUUUUCCCCUCAAUUUUAGCACAUGUCACCCUAAAUCAGUCCGUCGAAUGACCCUGUUACCCUCGAAGAUGCAACAAUUAGCACGUAGGAAUUCUUAGGGGUAAGUUUCCUAUAAAAGACCAAACGAGUCCUGUUAGGUCUUAACAUGAUGCAAAUAAGAAUGACCUAAAUACCAAUCUAGGUUGGGGUUCAACUAACAUGGUUGUUCAGGGGAGCGUAUGAUCGAUAGUGGUUGUGACAGCUUUCCAUCCACUCCAUACCAGUUGACGGCUCCCUCUUCUAAUAUAAGGGUGACUAAACUAAUGGAUGUGUACACAACGUGUACUACCGUACUUGUUGCGAAAGAAAUGACUCGGGUAAUACAUAUUAUGACAAAUAUAAAGCGAUAACACAUAAGAAAAAAUUGUAAACACAGCACAUAAAUAUCCAACAAUGAUAAAGAUAACACAAAUAAAAUGUCUAUACACUUAUAGUGACAAACUAAGCCGAUACAACUCAAUAAUAAAGCUCAAAUUCUAAAUAAAAAUCCCUAGCAGAGUCGCCAGAGCUGUCACACCUUUUUUAACCGAAAAAAAAUGUUGAUUUUAAGUUUGAAAAGGGUUUUAAUUAUUAAAGUGACUAAAAAUAAAAUUUUCUUUGAAAAGGAUUUUUUUAUAAUUUAUCUCAGAAUUGCCACUUGACAUAAAUUUGGUGUACCAAGUCACCUUUGGAAAUCAUUUUUUAAAAUGAUUUUGACUCUUUAAAACUAGUCCACAAACAGAGAUGCUAAUUAAGGAAUUCUGUUGACUGAGAAAAAGAUGUUAGGCAUCCCUCGGUCUCAUGGUUCGACCACAGUCGCUUCGUGGAGUAUAUCGACAAGUAAGAGACUAUGUGAUAAAUAAACUUCACACAAAAGCACAUAAGCAAAAAAGUACACAAAUAAAUAUGAGGAUCCAAAAAUAAUGUCAAGUCUGAUUAAUACAGUCCCAAAAUAAAACGGUACUGAAAUGUAAACAUAAACUAACGUACACUAAUAAUAAACUAUGCUCUACCCGAUGCCUCGGGCCUUGAUCACGAAUCUCUUUCGAAGAUAUAAUAUGUCGGGAUAUUCUCCAGUGAAUAAAUAUAAUUUUUCUCAGGGCAUUUGUCGACAAAUGAAUACAAUUUCAAUGUUAUGCAAGAAAAUAUAAAAUCCUUCAAACACACAUUCAAACAUUUGAUAAAGAUGGAAUCCUAAAAUUUGCCUACCCCAUUUGACAAUCUAAUCAUGAUACUAUCAAGCUCGACACAAUUAACAUUCAUUCUGAAAUAAACAAUCAUCAACAGAUCAAAACAAACCCAUAUUCACUUUUAUUAGUCAAUCCCUCCUCGAAUUUCAUUCUCAAUCAAUGAUUAACUUAAUUCUUCAACUAUCAAUUCAUUUUUUCUCAAUCAAUUUUCCCAACAUCUGAAUUCAAUAUCAACCACAUACACACAACAAAGAUCCAAGCAAAGUAAGCACACAAGUCAUUUAUAUCCACAACAACAAUUAAAAUUUAAGAAAAAAAUAAAAAAUGAAAAGAGAAAUAAACCUCAAUGCUUUUUCAAUUGGAAUGAUUCUUUCAAAGUCGAUACCGUGGUUGGUCAAACUAUUGACGAUGGAGACUCAUUAGAAACCUCAAACACUAGAAUCUCAAAUUUGAUUCUGGGACCAAAAAAAAAACUAAAUUUCUAAUUAGUUUCUUAGGUGACAGAUCUAUUUUGGCCAAUUUUUGAUGGAUUUCCACCGGAGUUGAUUUGAUUUUUGGUUAGAGCUUGUUGGUUUACGUAUUUUUGAUGGGUUUCACCAAAGAUGGUUGGAUUUAUGUUUAGGACCUGAACUGUAGCAAUUUUUAGUGGAUUAUCGCCGAACUCAAAAAAUAGAGAUCUAAUUUAACUGGGUUUCUUGCUGGUUUUGAUCAAAGAUGGUAUUUUUGGGGAAAUUUUACUGGAGAAAGAACUGUGUUCUCUAACUAUUUCUCUUCUCCCCAUUUCUCCGUUACUUCUUUUUUCUCAUGCUAUUUCUCUUCUAAAUAAACAUCUAAUUUUUAUUAUUUUCUCGUAUUAUUUUCUCUCUUUUUUCUCAAUUCCUCUGUAUUUUCCCUCUCCCCAUUUUUGAUUUUCCUUUCUCACCUCACUAUUUUUUCUCUUUGUGUAUGGGUUUUUUUCUUUUUCUAUAUAGUGUCUGUGUAUGUUAACA